AACGAACGCUGGCGGCAUGCCUAACACAUGCAAGUCGAACGAUCCCUUCGGGGAUAGUGGCGCACGGGUGCGUAACGCGUGGGAACCUGCCCUUAGGUUCGGAAUAACUCAGGGAAAUUUGAGCUAAUACCGGAUAAUGUCUUCGGACCAAAGAUUUAUCGCCUUUGGAUGGGCCCGCGUUGGAUUAGCUAGUUGGUGGGGUAAAGGCCUACCAAGGCGACGAUCCAUAGCUGGUCUGAGAGGAUGAUCAGCCACACUGGGACUGAGACACGGCCCAGACUCCUACGGGAGGCAGCAGUGGGGAAUAUUGGACAAUGGGCGAAAGCCUGAUCCAGCAAUGCCGCGUGAGUGAUGAAGGCCUUAGGGUUGUAAAGCUCUUUUACCCGGGAUGAUAAUGACAGUACCGGGAGAAUAAGCCCCGGCUAACUCCGUG
RNAcentral lists this ribosomal RNA (433 nucleotides) under uncultured bacterium. Its description in RNAcentral is "partial 16S ribosomal RNA". It matches the Rfam family "Bacterial small subunit ribosomal RNA", at positions 29 to 507 of the family's 1533-position model. The record is from RNAcentral.